RNAcentral lists this ribosomal RNA (514 nucleotides) under uncultured bacterium. Its description in RNAcentral is "bacterial SSU rRNA". It matches the Rfam family "Bacterial small subunit ribosomal RNA", at positions 302 to 830 of the family's 1533-position model. The record is from RNAcentral.
GAACGGCCACAUUGGGAAUGAUACUCGGCCCAGAAUCAUACGGGAGGCAGCAGUGGGGAAUAUUGGCCAAUGGGAGGAAUCCUGACCCAGCAAAGACAGCCGAAGGAAUAAGGCAUUCGGGUUGUAAACUUCUUUUAUUAGGGACGAAGGAUGUGACGGUACUUAAUGAAUAAUCCACAUCUAACUACGUGCCAGCAGCAGCGGUAAUAAGUAGGUGGCAAGCGUUGUCCGGAUUUAUUGGGUGUAAAGGGGGGGUAGGCGGGAAUGCAAGUCAGAUGUGAAAUCCAUGGGCUCAACCCAUGAACUGCAUUCGAAACUGUGUUUCUUGAGUGAUGGAGAGGCAGGCGGAAUUCUUAGUGUAGCGGUGAAAUGAGUAGAUAUUAGGACGAACACCAGUGGUGAAGGCGGCAUGUUGGUCAUCAACCAACGCUGAUGCGGCAAAGAGCGGGGGGCAAACAACAUUAGAUACCCCCGUAGUCCUCCCCGCAAACGAUGAAUAUCAGGUGUGGGGGGA